CAGAACUUUCACAAUGGCUACUAGAGGUUCUAGCUAGAUCCCAGACGUUUGAGGGAAAUCAAGAAUGAAUCAUCGGAAAGUAACGUUUACGUUAUAUAUUGUUGACAUGAGGACUGACAAAUACUCAAACAGUUUUAUUGAUGUCAUCUUUUGCAACAAACCAUCAAAAUAACGACGUAAAACAGGCUUAGGAACUUCGUUAUCCUUGAAAAAGAACGUUGAAUGUCUCACCUCUGAGAUGGCCCGAAUAAUUCUCCAGUCCUCCCUUGCCAUGCCAGGAGCUGUCACUGCCACAUGAGUCUGCUGUGCUCGACCUUCAGUGUUGACAUAGGUGCCACACUUUUCAGUGUAUGCCGCCCCAGGUAGUAUCACAUCUGCCAUAAUUGCUCCUACAUCACCAUGAUGCCCUACAACACAAAGUUCUCUUACAAUUCAACAAUAGGCAAAUGCGGCUUAGCAUGAGCAAUUUAACUUGCUCACUUCCAUUAUUGAAGAAAUAUUUGGAUAAUUAUUUAAAUGCAAUUCAGUUAGUUUCUAAAGUAACUCUUGCUGUUCUUAUCUGUUAUUGCCUUGGACUGCUGUAAGAAGUUAGAAUACAGUCUGACAAACAGACACAUGCUGUAGCACUGAGUAUGAAUCUGAAUUACUGUAUCUAUACUUACCCUGAUAGAUGAUAAAACAGUCCUUUGGCAAGUCCUGUCUUGUUAUACAGCCAGCAUCAGCCCCAAGAAGAAAUAAAACUUUUGGUGGAUUCUGCCUUAUAGCCUCUACUCCUGGUUUAUACCCCAGAUCCAAUGCAGCCACUUGACUAGCCACUCUGUUCAGUCAAACAAAAGACAAACCUUGACACAACUUUGAUAAUUCUUGUAUAAUAAUCCUUGUACCUAUAUAAUAAUAAAGCCAAAACAAAUAUUAA
Molecule: long non-coding RNA, 916 nt
Organism: Alosa sapidissima (American shad)
Lineage: Eukaryota; Metazoa; Chordata; Actinopteri; Clupeiformes; Clupeidae
Exons: 2
Source: RefSeq, a predicted model, not a curated record